Molecule: ribosomal RNA, 696 nt
Filed under: uncultured bacterium
Lineage: Bacteria
Description: bacterial SSU rRNA
Rfam family: Bacterial small subunit ribosomal RNA
Source: RNAcentral
AACGCUAGCUACAGGCUUAACACAUGCAAGUCGAGGGGAAACGACAUCGAAAGCUUGCUUUUGAUGGGCGUCGACCGGCGCACGGGUGAGUAACGCGUAUCCAACCUGCCCACCACUUGGGGAUAACCUUGCGAAAGUAAGACUAAUACCCAAUGAUAUCUCUAGAAGACAUCUGAAAGGGAUUAAAGAUUUAUCGGUGAUGGAUGGGGAUGCGUCUGAUUAGCUUGUUGGCGGGGUAACGGCCCACCAAGGCUACGAUCAGUAGGGGUUCUGAGAGGAAGGUCCCCCACAUUGGAACUGAGACACGGUCCAAACUCCUACGGGAGGCAGCAGUGAGGAAUAUUGGUCAAUGGGCGAGAGCCUGAACCAGCCAAGUAGCGUGCAGGAUGACGGCUCUAUGGGCUGUAAACUGCUUUUAUAAGGGAAUAAAGUGAGUCUCGUGAGACUUUUUGCAUGUACCUUAUGAAUAAGGACCGGCUAAUUCCGUGCCAGCAGCCGCGGUAAUACGGAAGGUCCGGGCGUUAUCCGGAUUUAUUGGGUUUAAAGGGAGCGUAGGCCGGAGAUUAAGCGUGUUGUGAAAUGUAGAUGCUCAACAUCUGCACUGCAGCGCGAACUGGUUUCCUUGAGUACGCACAAAGUGGGCGGAAUUCGUGGUGUAGCGGUGAAAUGCUUAGAUAUCACGAAGAACUCCGAUUG